This 484-nucleotide ribosomal RNA is filed under the name uncultured bacterium. Its description in RNAcentral is "partial 16S ribosomal RNA". It matches the Rfam family "Bacterial small subunit ribosomal RNA", at positions 28 to 507 of the family's 1533-position model. The record is from RNAcentral.
AUUGAACGCUGGCGGCAUGCUUUACACAUGCAAGUCGAACGGCAGCGCGGGCUUCGGCCUGGCGGCGAGUGGCGAACGGGUGAGUAAUGCAUCGGAACGUGCCCAGUAGUGGGGGAUAGCCCGGCGAAAGCCGGAUUAAUACCGCAUACGACCUGAGGGUGAAAGCGGGGGACCGAAAGGCCUCGCGCUCUUGGAGCGGCCGAGGUCGGAUUAGCUAGUUGGUGGGGUAAAGGCUUACCAAGGCGACGAUCCGUAGCUGGUCUGAGAGGACGACCAGCCACACUGGGACUGAGACACGGCCCAGACUCCUACGGGAGGCAGCAGUGGGGAAUUUUGGACAAUGGGGGCAACCCUGAUCCAGCCAUGCCGCGUGCGGGAAGAAGGCCUUCGGGUUGUAAACCGCUUUUGUUCGGGAAGAAAUCCUCUGGGCUAAUACCCCGGGGGGAUGACGGUACCGGAAGAAUAAGCACCGGCUAACUACGUG